Long non-coding RNA from Hemicordylus capensis (graceful crag lizard), 837 nucleotides. RefSeq lists it as uncharacterized. The transcript has 3 exons. NCBI's taxonomy places the organism in Eukaryota, Metazoa, Chordata, Lepidosauria, Squamata, Cordylidae. The record is from RefSeq and is a predicted model, not a curated record.
CUCCUCGCCCCCCCCAUCCCUGAAGCAGCCACCGUCAUGCCCAAUCCCACCGGCAGCAGCGGAGUUCUUUAGAGGGUAAAAUGGGAAACUUCCCCUCGCCUGCUGCUACUGCCACCAUGUAGUGGUGUCGUCGUUGUUUUAAGUUUAUAGAAGAAAAAUCAAAUCACACCAUUACCGAGAUCGCCGCCAUUACCCCUCUCUGGGGAGCAAUUGGGGCCAAAGCUCCCUUCGUUGCUUCGCACGCCGGGGCCGUAGCUCCCUUGGCCAAAGCCUGCCCACUCCGCGGUUCAAGGGCUGGGGCAUCCGACAAAGGACCCUCUGAGAGGGAGCCUUUCAGCAUGUCUCCCGUAUGCGAGAGUUCCAUCACUCCUUAAAGACCCUCCGUCCGUCACGUGAAGAAGGAAAGGAGCGGUGAGAGAGAUAGGGGCCGGAGGGAAGUCAAGGACAAAAAGAACGAUAGGAGACCAACGAAAGACAUAAUUCUGACAUUGUGGACAGAGACACCCUCAACUCUUCUUCUCCUGCCAGGGAUAUUGGAUGUUUAACAUACUUCAGAUUUUCUGAAUAGAAGUUUGUUCCUCUGCAGUAUUCCUGCCUCCUCCUACAAAACAGACUGGAAUACCAAACCUGGCUUCAUUUUCUUAAUUAAAGUAAUUAAUUAAAGCCUCUACUGUACUGAAGAAUCAAGGACAUACAUUCACAGGAAAGCAGAUUUUGUUUAAACCAGACCAUUGAACAACAGCUGGCCUUUAUCUGCUUGUUCCACCAUAAUCUCCGACAGGAUAAAGCAAACAAGCAGCAGACACGUUUUUAUCCUGCUGAAUGGAUUAAGCCAGA